This 24-nucleotide non-coding RNA is filed under the name Cricetulus griseus (Chinese hamster). Lineage: Eukaryota; Metazoa; Chordata; Mammalia; Rodentia; Cricetidae. The record is from RNAcentral.
ACGGCAACCUGCAGUAUUACCUGU